GGAGGGUUGGCCGAGUGGCUUAAGGCGACGGUUUGCUAAACCGUUGUCCCGCAAGGGACACGUGGGUUCGAAUCCCACACCCUCCGCCA
RNAcentral lists this transfer RNA (89 nucleotides) under candidate division CPR3 bacterium. RNAcentral's name for it is "tRNA-Ser". It matches the Rfam family "tRNA". Rfam says of the family: Transfer RNA (tRNA) molecules are approximately 80 nucleotides in length. Their secondary structure includes four short double-helical elements and three loops (D, anti-codon, and T loops). Lineage: Bacteria; candidate division CPR3. The record is from RNAcentral.